Molecule: long non-coding RNA, 542 nt
Organism: Mastomys coucha (southern multimammate mouse)
Lineage: Eukaryota; Metazoa; Chordata; Mammalia; Rodentia; Muridae
Exons: 2
Source: RefSeq, a predicted model, not a curated record
GUCCUUCAGUCAGUUUUACAAACAUUAUAACUUUUAAUGCUCAUUGUUAACAUACUGACUUUUUGUGCUUUGGUUAGUAGAGUUCUGGUCACAAAUUUUGUUCCCUGUCAAGGAUAAAGAAUUGAAGAGCUAGGAAAGAUGGAAGAUUGAGUUUCAGAAAAAAAGAAAGUGCAAUUUUUUUUUCUCUUCAGGCAGAGAGCUCUAAGUCUGGGAAUCUGGCAAAGAAUUCCUUAUAAGAAGCAGGGAUGGAGACCUUUGUACUGUUGCUUUUCUUUAGUUACCCACACCUGCACCACCCCACUAAUUAUAUGCAAACAAGAAGCUGCCAUCUGACUUGUUGGGGGAGAGGACAUUUGUUUUCCUUGUCUUUCUGUGUUCUUUAUCAAGAAGGGACACUGUGUCCCUUGGCAAAUCUCCAAAUACUCAAGCUUCCUGUUUGUGGAUUGAGGGGAUGAACUACCAGUUGCUUCUCCAGCACCACUCCUGCUGCCACAUUCUUCCACAUAAUGGUUAACCCAAAUAAAAUCUUUCUUUUAUAAGUU